UGCAGGAACAGGAGGGAUGCAGCCGCGUUGCUAAGCGAGCGGCGCGGGUCCCUGCCUGCCUGCCGGCGCGCAGACCCUCCGGAGCCCGAAUGGAAAUGAGUGUUUACACGUCAAACGACGACAGACAUCCUGACGUCAAGGCUAAUUAUGCUGGACCCUCCGUGCAGUGAUGCCUGAUGGAUAUGUGUUCUUCCAGCACACUGUAGCUUUUGCUUCCUUUUUUAUUGACAGCCAGAUUGAGUGCAACCUCAGCAAGUCUGCAGACACCAAACUGAGUGGGAGAGUUGCGACCCCAGAAGGAUAGGAUGUCAUCCAGAGGGACUUGGACAGCUUGGAGAAGUGGACCUAUGAGAACCUCAUGAAGUUCAACAAGGCCAAGUGCAAGAUCCUAGACCUGGAUUGGGGCAAUCCCCAAUUUCAAUAUGGGAUGGGGGAUGAUGUGAUAGAGAGUGGUCCAGCAGAAAAGGACUUGAGGUGAUGUUUGAUGAGAAGCUUGACAUGAGCCAGCAAUGUGUGCUUGCAGCCCAGAAGGCCAAGUGCAUCCUCCUGGGCUGCAUCAAAAGAAGCGUGACUAGUAGGGCGAGUGAAGUGAUUCUGCACCUCUAUUCCUCUCUUGUGAGACCUCAUCUGGAGUAUUGCGUGGAGUAUUCAGUUCUGGAAUCCUCAACAUAAGAAGGAUAUGGAACUGUUGGAACGGGUCCAGAGGAGGGCUACAAAGAUGAUCAGAGGGCUGGAGCACCUUGCAUAUGAGGACAGGCUGAGAGAGUUGGGGUUGUUUACCCUGGAGAAGAGAAGGCUCGGAGGAGACAUUAUAGCAAUCUUCCAGUACUGGAAGGGGGCUACAAGAAAGUUGGGAGGGACUGUUUACAAAGGCUUGUAGUGACAGGACUAGGAGCAAUGGCUAUAAACAGGAGAGAGGCAGAUUUAAGCUAGGCAUAAGGAAGAAUUUCUUCAUCAUGCGAGUGGUGAGGCACUGGAACAGGUUGUCUGGGCAAGUUGUGGCUGCCCCAUCCCUGGAGGUGUUCAAGGCCAUAUUGGAUGGGGCCUUGAGCAGCCUGAUCCAGUGGGAUGUGUCCCUGGCCACUAUAGGCGAGUUGGGACUAGAUGAUCUUUAAGGUCCCUUCCAACCCAGACUAUUCUAUGAUUCUACAAUUCUAUGAUUAAACUCCACUAUCUCAAUCCAUGAGUGUUUUCACCUACCUCUGAUUUCUUUCUCUUUGUCCUUCAGGAAAGGAGAGAGAGCGAAAGGCAGGGUAGUCAAAGCUGGCCCGCCUCUAAAUGCCAUUACCACAAAAAUAUUGUGCACAUAGAGAUUUAGAGCUUUUAACAUUGGCAGUUAAAGUUGGAGGAGCCAAGGAGAGGCACAAGACACCAAACACAUCUUUGAGGUCUCAGUGUUGCAUGGUGGCAUGUGAGAGAUCUGAUCCCUGCAAGCAAUGGAGAACCAGUGGUCCUCCAAGGAGCGAUGAGCUGGGUUGGUGGGGUGUGGAUGGAGAUGCUGUGUUCUUUAAGCGUGCAGGAAAAUUGCUUCUAGGCACACAAACGUCAUGGUUACCAAACUGAGUGUGUAACCUGAGCCCAGCUCUGUGACUGUUUUCCUAAAAUUAAAUGCCACAGGAUGACUGCCGGUUCUCCGAAGAACUAUCUGCUUUGUAAGUUAUCAAAACAGUAGCUUCAAAUGUCACUGGUUGAUUUGUUCUCUUCCUGUGUUUGGAGAAAGCAACAAAGGAAGGAGAAGGGUGUAUGUCAAAAGCAAUCUUCCCUAAAUCACUUUUCUCAUGCCAAACAGUUGCAGAAAUUUCCUUCUCCUGUGUACACAAGGCAUGUUGUGAUUUCCCUAGCUACCUCUGCCGAGUAAUCUUUCAGCCUCUUCUCUAAAAAAAGGCAAUUCAAGCAGAGCACGAUGCUGUAGGAUGGGGGAGACAGGAGAGAGCCGUGCAGGGUAAAUGAGGCUGAUAGUGUAACCAAAGAAAAUUCAUCUCCCAACAAGAUAAAUCAAUUCCAGCUACAGCUAAAAACAUUAAGCAUCCUCCAGGAUAAUGGUGUCUGGCCACAGGCGAAAAAGUGCUUUCUGGGGAAUGCACCCAAUAGAGUAUCAUUAAAAAAGAGACAGAAUAGUGAAAUCAAAACCAAAUGCAUGUGGAACUUCAGGCCAAUCGUCUCAAACAAAUGUUUCAUUAUUCCUGCAAUAACCAUUGGAUCAGGUGUUGUUCAGAAUCAGAAUAACCUAGGCCAAAAGGCAGCUACCAGAGCACCACUGGGAAGUUGCAUGGAACUACAUGAAUAAGAAUACUUUUUCUAUAACAAAAUUUUAUGUAACAUUUAAUAAAGCCUCUUCUCUGACAUACACCAUUGCGGACAGCCCAGUUUUCUAAGCUGCUUUUCAUCAACCCAUCUUCUUUGUCUUCUGUCUUCAGUUCUUGGUGAUUUGUGUGAACAGGACUGCAUGUAAAGAUUUAUUUAAUCAAAUUAAAAGCAAAGCCUUUUUCAGAUACAAGUAAGUGCUGCCAGUCAUUUCCCCA
This is a long non-coding RNA of Cuculus canorus (common cuckoo), 2522 nucleotides long. RefSeq lists it as uncharacterized. The transcript is spliced from 3 exons. Lineage: Eukaryota; Metazoa; Chordata; Aves; Cuculiformes; Cuculidae. The record is from RefSeq and is a predicted model, not a curated record.